GUACUCCUGGAAGCACAUACACUAAAAUUGGAAUAAUGCAGAAAAGAUGAGCAUGCACAAUCACAACAAUUAUGUGUGAAAUAUUACAUAUUUUU
RNAcentral lists this small nuclear RNA (95 nucleotides) under Sorex araneus (European shrew). The record is from RNAcentral. Lineage: Eukaryota; Metazoa; Chordata; Mammalia; Eulipotyphla; Soricidae.